Molecule: ribosomal RNA, 497 nt
Filed under: uncultured bacterium
Lineage: Bacteria
Description: partial 16S ribosomal RNA
Rfam family: Bacterial small subunit ribosomal RNA
Source: RNAcentral
GAUGAACGCUGGCGGCGUGCCUAAUACAUGCAAGUCGAGCGAACAGACGAGGAGCUUGCUCCUCUGACGUUAGCGGCGGACGGGUGAGUAACACGUGGAUAACCUACCUAUAAGACUGGGAUAACUUCGGGAAACCGGGGCUAAUACCGGAUAAUAUAUUGAACCGCAUGGUUCAAUAGUGAAAGACGGUUUUGCUGUCACUUAUAGAUGGAUCCGCGCUGCAUUAGCUAGUUGGUAAGGUAACGGCUUACCAAGGCAACGAUGCGUAGCCGACCUGAGAGGGUGAUCGGCCACACUGGAACUGAGACACGGUCCAGACUCCUACGGGAGGCAGCAGUAGGGAAUCUUCCGCAAUGGGCGAAAGCCUGACGGAGCAACGCCGCGUGAGUGAUGAAGGUCUUCGGAUCGUAAAACUCUGUUAUUAGGGAAGAACAAAUGUGUAAGUAACUAUGCACGUCUUGACGGUACCUAAUCAGAAAGCCACGGCUAACUACGUG